RNAcentral lists this ribosomal RNA (301 nucleotides) under uncultured bacterium. RNAcentral describes it as "partial 16S ribosomal RNA". It matches the Rfam family "Bacterial small subunit ribosomal RNA", at positions 509 to 807 of the family's 1533-position model. The record is from RNAcentral.
CAGUAGCCACGGUAAUACGUAGGUGGCAAGCGUUGUCCGGAAUUAUUGGGCGUAAAGGGCUCGCAGGCGGUUUCUUAAGUCUGAUGUGAAAGCCCCCGGCUCAACCGGGGAGGGUCAUUGGAAACUGGUUGACUUGAGUGCAGAAGAGGAGAGUGGAAUUCCACGUGUAGCGGUGAAAUGCGUAGAGAUGUGGAGGAACACCAAUGGCGAAGGCGACUCUCUGGUCUGUAACUGACGCUGAGGAGCGAAAGCGUGGGGAGCGAACAGGAUUAGAUACCCCCGUAGUCCCUGUCUCUUAUAC